CAGUAGCCACGGGAAUACGAAGGGGGCUAGCGUUGUUCGGAAUUACUGGGCGUAAAGGGCGCGUAGGCGGCGGAUCAAGUCAGGCGUGAAAGCCCCGGGCUCAACCUGGGAAUUGCGCUUGGGACUGGUCUGCUUGAGUUCGGGAGAGGUGAGUGGAAUUCCCAGUGUAGAGGUGAAAUUCGUAGAUAUUGGGAAGAACACCGGUGGCGAAGGCGGCUCACUGGACCGUCACUGACGCUGAGGCGCGAAAGCGUGGGGAGCAAACAGGAUUAGAUACCCCAGUAGUCCCUGUCUCUUAUAA
RNAcentral lists this ribosomal RNA (301 nucleotides) under uncultured bacterium. RNAcentral describes it as "partial 16S ribosomal RNA". It matches the Rfam family "Bacterial small subunit ribosomal RNA", at positions 509 to 809 of the family's 1533-position model. The record is from RNAcentral.